This 1884-nucleotide long non-coding RNA is filed under the name Helianthus annuus (common sunflower). RNAcentral's name for it is "hypothetical non coding rna". Lineage: Eukaryota; Viridiplantae; Streptophyta; Magnoliopsida; Asterales; Asteraceae. The record is from RNAcentral.
GAUACUCUUAUUCAUCUUAUUAUCUGGAGGGUAUAACAUUAUCCAAACUUAAUAUAUUGUAUUAUAUAAAAAUCUAUUUAGUUGAGGGGAAAAAAGAAAUGCACUUGAAACCCAACAAAAGGAAAAAGAUAGCAUAUAUGCAUACAAGACUACCCGAUUUUACAUACAAUUAUUUAUGGUGUUGCAUGAUCAUUAAAAGGAUAGGUUGUUCUAUAUAUUUUAUAUGAACACGUGCUAUAUCCUUUGAUAAUACUUUUCAGAUGAAUUUGAACUCAUAUACUUAUUUUAUAUGAACAUGUGCUAUAUAUAUAUCCUUUGAUAAGACUUUUCAGAAGGUUGUGCAAGUUACUUUUUAAGUAGCCAUGGACAUAAAAAUGUCCUUGUGAAAUUUUACGUGUAUAAGUUGACAUUUUGUUUUGUAAAGCUCAUAUGAUGGCUUGAUAAGAGAAUAUUUAUAUUGCACGUGGAAGGACCAACGUGACGAAUCUUAAAUGGGCGAAAUAGCUCAGAUCUACAGCAAAAGGUAACGAGGCCUACACAAAUCUACCACACGGUUUGGGAAAUAUAUAUCGUUAUAUGAUUAAGUGUGACUUAAGUAUUUUAACUGAAAUGUAACAUGCAAAUGAACUAAGGUAGCGUUCGUUUCAUGGAAUGGAAUGGAAUGGAAUUAGGAAGUUUUUCUUUGUAAAAUUGAUCUUGCUUGUUAUAACUUUUUGUAUUCUUACAAGUAACUUGAGGCAAAGGAAAUAUAACUACUGUUUUCUUUAGGCAAAGUAAAUAUAAAAGUAAUUCUACUUUGUAUAUAUGUAAUUCCUUUAGGCAAAGGAAAUAUAAAAGUAAUUCUACUUUGUUUUUCUAUUGGUUAAACAAUUAAAAUAAAGAAUUACAAGUUGCAUAAAAUUACUGUUUUUGUUUGGUAAAUGAUCAAGUUAGUCAAAAUAUAUGUACUAUUAACAUUUUUCUGCAAUGUAUGUGUAUUAUAUGAAGUGUAACUCAUUGCAGGUUAGGUUGGCUAGAUACAGCUUCAUGUAAUAAACUCUUGCUGGUGUUUGGUACUAUUUGUGUAUUUAGAUUUCACAUGUAGGAAUUAAAAGACGUUGUUUAAUAAUCUAUUGAAUAUGAUGUAGAUAAGAAUUAACUUGAUGGUGAUGAUUAGCACGUACAAAAAUCUUCAAACAAAAACAGAAGAGAUCGAAUAGACUACUCAAGGAUUUAAUUUAGUACAUCCACUCUAAUUGUUUUAUUUCCAGUUUUGACACUAACUUUCCUCAUAUGAAAACAUAGCAAUAUCGCUACUACAGUUGUACCAAAUUUGCUAAUUCCUCAUAUAUGUAAACAUAGCAGUAUUGCUACUACAGUUACACCAAAUUUGCUAAAAAAUCAAAAACCCUAAAAACCACACAGACUUCAUUUCAACUAUCAUAUUCGAUUAUUAUUCUUAUCCUACACCAAUUUCAGGUUUCGUAACAGUUACGAUAGAAGAAAACCGUGCAUGAAUUCUGUUGAUUUCAUGUACGGUACUUUCCACAUCGGAAUGAAUUAAGUUUAUCAACGAACACAAAACAGUAAAAAAAGUGAACAAAAUAGAAACAAGUGAAAGAAUACGUACGAAGCAUCGGUAGCGUAUUCGCAGAGCUUUCCUUUGGUGGAGAAGAUGAUGAGAGCGACAUCGGCUUCACAGAGAACGGAGAUCUCGUGAGCUUUCUUUAACAAACCGGAUCUUCGUUUAGAGAAAGUGACCUGCCGGUUGAUCUUAUUCUCUAUCCUCUUCAACGUCACCUUUCCCCUACCCAUUUUUUUUUUCCGGUGGUCUCUCUCUCACACACACAGAUGGACUUUGGUGUUCUAUAGUUAUAACUGUAUGCAGUUGCUUUGCUUUUAUCU